RNAcentral lists this ribosomal RNA (253 nucleotides) under uncultured bacterium. RNAcentral describes it as "partial 16S ribosomal RNA". It matches the Rfam family "Bacterial small subunit ribosomal RNA", at positions 524 to 776 of the family's 1533-position model. The record is from RNAcentral.
UACGUAGGUGGCAAGCGUUGUCCGGAAUUAUUGGGCGUAAAGCGCGCGCAGGUGGUUUCUUAAGUCUGAUGUGAAAGCCCACGGCUCAACCGUGGAGGGUCAUUGGAAACUGGGGAACUUGAGUGCAGAAGAGGAAAGUGGAAUUCCAAGUGUAGCGGUGAAAUGCGUAGAGAUUUGGAGGAACACCAGUGGCGAAGGCGGCUCUCUGGGACGGUACUGACGCUGAGACGCGAAAGCGUGGGGAGCAAACAGG